CUGUACUUGGUGUUACUGCGAAGGGGGGACGGAGAAGGCUAUGUUGGCCGGGCGACGGUUGUCCCGGUUUAAGCGUGUAGGCUGGUUUUCCAGGCAAAUCCGGAAAAUCAAGGCUGAGGCGUGAUGACGAGGCACUACGGUGCUGAAGCAACAAAUGCCCUGCUUCCAGGAAAAGCCUCUAAGCAUCAGGUAACAUCAAAUCGUACCCCAAACCGACACAGGUGGUCAGG
This 230-nucleotide ribosomal RNA is filed under the name Xanthomonas oryzae pv. oryzae. RNAcentral's name for it is "partial 23S ribosomal RNA". It matches the Rfam family "Bacterial large subunit ribosomal RNA", at positions 1439 to 1671 of the family's 2925-position model. Lineage: Bacteria; Pseudomonadati; Pseudomonadota; Gammaproteobacteria; Lysobacterales; Lysobacteraceae. The record is from RNAcentral.